RNAcentral lists this long non-coding RNA (533 nucleotides) under Triticum aestivum (bread wheat). RNAcentral describes it as "long non-coding RNA (TAES_LNC017506)". Lineage: Eukaryota; Viridiplantae; Streptophyta; Magnoliopsida; Poales; Poaceae. The record is from RNAcentral.
UUAAGCUUGCAGCACAACCUUUUUUCAGCAUCUCCUUCUCAGCCUUGUCAGCAACGCCUGUCGAAUAUUUCAAAAUUAGAAGUGCAUUCAAACUGUACAUAUGCAACAAGAGACGAUGUACUGAACUGAACAAACUUGUAGUGGAUAAACACCUCAGUCUCCCAUGUACUGUACUGAACAAGCAUGUAGUGUGUAAACAGCAACAGGAUAUUGCAGGAGCAAAGGAAAACAUUAUGCAACAUGAAUGAAGAUAGUACCUUCUACAUUAAAACAUCUACUCGUCAUCGCUGUCGACAUCCAUUGUGGCACCUCCUUCGUCUUCACUGCAAUACUCCAAACCUGUGUCAUCUUCUUCAUCUUCAUCGCCACCUUCAUACACUUUUGUGGUUUUUUCUUUCAUCAAACGGGCAACGACAUCAGCUUCAAAAGUAAUGCCUUGCUCAUCAUCUCUAUGCAAAGGCUUCUCAGAUGUAAGGUCAGAAACUGAUGUUCUCCUACCCUCCUCUUCACAACACUCCUCCUCUUGAUAUGCA